GUCACGGAGAUCCGCCCACCCGGGGUGGUGGUCACGGACGGGAGCGAAUGAGCGUGGGUGACUAACACAGCUCUGGGCAACAGGCACAGGAGAGAUAAAGAACAAAGGAGAAAAUAAACGUGGCUGCGCUAAUGAGAAGACAUUUGCAAAAAUCACAAACAUACAAAUGAGCAUAAACUCCGGAAUCCAGAACUAACCACACAAUACACACACACACACCAAGGGUACCCACACUGUAACAACAAUUAAACAGAAACCACAGAAUGAUAGAGAGUAAAAUGGCCAUGUACAUGUUAACACCACCGGUGUCAGAUAUUCAGAAUAUAACGAUCUCCAGCCUUCACCCACCAGGCUGGUCCCGGCAAAACACUGGUACCAACGGAAAUACUACAAUAAUCAUACAAAAAUCUCAGCCCCACCGGCUGUAAUGCAUUCCCUGCCCGCUAGGCAGUCAAGUUAACAUAAAAACCCAGCCCCACCGGCUGUAAUGCGUUCCCUGCCCGCUAGGCAGUCAAGCAAACAUAAACCGCGUUCCCUGCCCGCUAGGCAGUCAAGCAAACAUAUAAAAUGCGUUCCCUGCCCGCUAGGCAGUCAAGCAAACAUAUAAA
Molecule: non-coding RNA, 608 nt
Organism: Pelobates cultripes (western spadefoot toad)
Lineage: Eukaryota; Metazoa; Chordata; Amphibia; Anura; Pelobatidae
Source: the annotation of a GenBank genome assembly